UGUUCCGUGGCUUAGUUGGUUAAAGCGCCGGUCUAGCGAAUACGAAGUCAUGGGUUCGAAUCCCACCAGAACGC
Molecule: non-coding RNA, 74 nt
Organism: Aedes albopictus (Asian tiger mosquito)
Lineage: Eukaryota; Metazoa; Arthropoda; Insecta; Diptera; Culicidae
Source: Rfam